CGGCGGACGGCUGAGUAACACGUAGGAACGUACCCCAAACUGAGGGAUAAGCACCAGAAAUGGUGUCUAAUACCGCAUGUGCUCUUCGGAGUAAAGCUUCGGCGGUUUGGGAACGGCCUGCGCAUGAUUAGCUUGUUGGUGAGGUAAUGGCUCACCAAGGCGACGAUCAUUAGUUGGUCUGAGGGGAUGAUCAGCCAUACUGGGACUGAGACACGGCCCAG
This 221-nucleotide ribosomal RNA is filed under the name uncultured bacterium. RNAcentral describes it as "partial 16S ribosomal RNA". It matches the Rfam family "Bacterial small subunit ribosomal RNA", at positions 96 to 334 of the family's 1533-position model. The record is from RNAcentral.